RNAcentral lists this signal recognition particle RNA (297 nucleotides) under Aotus nancymaae (Ma's night monkey). RNAcentral's name for it is "Metazoan signal recognition particle RNA (ENSANAG00000005322.1)". It matches the Rfam family "Metazoan signal recognition particle RNA". From Rfam's summary of the family: The signal recognition particle (SRP) is a universally conserved ribonucleoprotein. The record is from RNAcentral. Lineage: Eukaryota; Metazoa; Chordata; Mammalia; Primates; Aotidae.
GCUGGGCGCGUGGUGCGUGCCUGUAGUCCCAGCUAUUCGGGAGGCUGAGGCUGGAGGAUCUCUUGAGUCCAGGAGUUCUAGGCUGUAGUGCGCUAUGCCGAUCGGGUGUCCUCACUAAGCUCGGCAUCAAUAUGGUGACCUCCUGGGAGUGGGGGACCACCAGGUUGCCUAAGGAGGGUGAACCGGCCCAGGUCAGAAAUGGAGCAGGUCAAAACUCCCGUGCUUAUCAGUAGUGGGAUAGCGCCUAUGAAUAGCUACUGCAGUCCAGCCUGGGCAACAUAGCGAGAUCCUGUCUCU